RNAcentral lists this long non-coding RNA (316 nucleotides) under Elaeis guineensis (African oil palm). Its description in RNAcentral is "long non-coding RNA (EGUI_LNC006992)". Lineage: Eukaryota; Viridiplantae; Streptophyta; Magnoliopsida; Arecales; Arecaceae. The record is from RNAcentral.
AAUAACUUGCAUUGAGCGUGAUCAACACGAGAACCACAUGGAUGUCUACUCACUUAUCAGCGAUCUUCUCGAUGCUGCAGUGGUAUGAGUGAUUCUUUGACCUACGGUGAUAUUGGCUAUUCGCAGCGAAGCUACUGAGUUUGACUGCACGUUUUCUUGAUCCCUAGCCAUUCGGAUCCUUGCUGUGUAUGUUGGCUUCAGUAGGUUCAGAAUCACUGUUUGGAGUAGGAUGCACCUAGAUGAAAUUUAUCGACCUUGGUAGAAAAGGAGAAGUCCUAUGUGAUUUAUGAGAUUGAGUUCAGAAAGUCUUUGGCCA